RNAcentral lists this ribosomal RNA (234 nucleotides) under uncultured bacterium. RNAcentral's name for it is "partial 16S ribosomal RNA". It matches the Rfam family "Bacterial small subunit ribosomal RNA", at positions 1267 to 1500 of the family's 1533-position model. The record is from RNAcentral.
GCAAAUCUCUUAAAGCCGUUCUCAGUUCGGAUUGUAGGCUGCAACUCGCCUACAUGAAGUCGGAAUCGCUAGUAAUCGCGGAUCAGCAUGCCGCGGUGAAUACGUUCCCGGGCCUUGUACACACCGCCCGUCACACCAUGAGAGUUUGUAACACCCAAAGCCGGUGGGGUAACCUUUUGGAGCCAGCCGUCUAAGGUGGGACAGAUGAUUGGGGUGAAGUCGUAACAAGGUAUC